UACGAAGGGGGCUAGCGUUGUUCGGAAUCACUGGGCGUAAAGCGCACGUAGGCGGAUCUUUAAGUCAGGGGUGAAAUCCCGAGGCUCAACCUCGGAACUGCCUUCGAUACUGACGAUCUUCGAGUCCGGGAGAGGUGAGUGGAACUCCGAGUGUAGAGGUGAAAUUCGUAGAUAUUCGGAAGAACACCAGUGGCGAAGGCGGCUCACUGGCCCGGUACUGACGCUGAGAUACGAAAGCGUGGGGAGCAAACAGG
This 254-nucleotide ribosomal RNA is filed under the name uncultured bacterium. RNAcentral describes it as "partial 16S ribosomal RNA". It matches the Rfam family "Bacterial small subunit ribosomal RNA", at positions 524 to 776 of the family's 1533-position model. The record is from RNAcentral.